AGGACGAACGCUGGCGGCGUGCCUAACACAUGCAAGUCGAGCGGAGUCGGUAAGAGGAAGUUUCGGAUGGAAUCUUAUUGAUUUAGCGGCGGACGGGUGAGUAACGCGUGAGCGACCAACCUUGCACAGGGGGAUAACGGACCGAAAGGUUCACUAAUACCGCAUGAGACCACGGUGUUGCAUGACACAGAGGUCAAAGGAGCAAUCCGGUGCAAGACGGGCUCGCGUCCGAUUAGGUAGUUGAGGGGUAACGGCCCACCAAGCCUAUGAUCGGUAGCCGACCUGAGAGGGUGAUCGGCCACAUUGGAACUGAGAUACGGUCCAAACUCCUACGGGAGGCAGCAGUGGGGAAUAUUGGGACCAAUGGGGGAAACCCUGACCCAGCAACGCCGCGUGAAGGAAGAAGGUUUUCGGAUUGUAAACUUCUGUCCUUGGUGAAGAGAAGAAGACGGUAGCCAAGGAGGAACGCCCCGGCUAACUACGUGCCAGCCGCCGC
RNAcentral lists this ribosomal RNA (496 nucleotides) under uncultured bacterium. RNAcentral's name for it is "bacterial SSU rRNA". It matches the Rfam family "Bacterial small subunit ribosomal RNA", at positions 26 to 518 of the family's 1533-position model. The record is from RNAcentral.